GACCUAGUAGUUAAAGUUAUAACGUUAAAUUGCAAAUUUAAAGUUACCAAAUUGAGUCUAAGUUUGGGUCA
Molecule: transfer RNA, 71 nt
Filed under: Perna viridis (Asian green mussel)
Lineage: Eukaryota; Metazoa; Mollusca; Bivalvia; Mytilida; Mytilidae
Description: tRNA-Cys
Rfam family: tRNA
About the family: Transfer RNA (tRNA) molecules are approximately 80 nucleotides in length. Their secondary structure includes four short double-helical elements and three loops (D, anti-codon, and T loops). Further hydrogen bonds mediate the characteristic L-shaped molecular structure. tRNAs have two regions of fundamental functional importance: the anti-codon, which is responsible for specific mRNA codon recognition, and the 3' end, to which the tRNAs corresponding amino acid is attached (by aminoacyl-tRNA synthetases). tRNAs cope with the degeneracy of the genetic code in two manners: having more than one tRNA (with a specific anti-codon) for a particular amino acid; and 'wobble' base-pairing, i.e. permitting non-standard base-pairing at the 3rd anti-codon position.
Source: RNAcentral